GACGAACGCUGGCGGCGUGCUUAACACAUGCAAGUCGAACGGAAAGGCCCUGCUUUUGUGGGGUGCUCGAGUGGCGAACGGGUGAGUAACACGUGAGUAACCUACCCUUGACUUUGGGAUAACUUCAGGAAACUGGGGCUAAUACCGGAUAGGAGCUCCUGCUGCAUGGUGGGGGUUGGAAAGUUUCGGCGGUUGGGGAUGGACUCGCGGCUUAUCAGCUUGUUGGUGGGGUAGUGGCUUACCAAGGCUUUGAAGGGUAGCCGGCCUGAGAGGGUGACCGGCCACAUUGGGACUGAGAUACGGCCCAGACUCCUACGGGAGGCAGCAGUGGGGAAUAUUGCACAAUGGGCGGAAGCCUGAUGCAGCAACGCCGCGUGCGGGAUGACGGCCUUCGGGUUGUAAACCGCUUUCGCCUGUGACGAAGCGUGAGUGACGGUAAUGGGUAAAGAAGCACCGGCUAACUACGUG
This 468-nucleotide ribosomal RNA is filed under the name uncultured bacterium. RNAcentral describes it as "partial 16S ribosomal RNA". It matches the Rfam family "Bacterial small subunit ribosomal RNA", at positions 28 to 507 of the family's 1533-position model. The record is from RNAcentral.